Molecule: ribosomal RNA, 742 nt
Filed under: uncultured bacterium
Lineage: Bacteria
Description: bacterial SSU rRNA
Rfam family: Bacterial small subunit ribosomal RNA
Source: RNAcentral
AGAGUUUGAUCCUGGCUCAGAACGAACGCUGGCGGCAUGCCUAACACAUGCAAGUCGAACGAGACCUUCGGGUCUAGUGGCGCACGGGUGCGUAACGCGUGGGAAUCUGCCCAAAGGUUCGGAAUAACUCGGGGAAACCCGUGCUAAUACCGGAUGAUAUCGCGAGAUCAAAGAUUUAUCGCCUUUGGAUGAGCCCGCGUAGGAUUAGCUUGUUGGUGGGGUAAAGGCCUACCAAGGCGACGAUCCUUAGCUGGUCUGAGAGGAUGAUCAGCCACACUGGGACUGAGACACGGCCCAGACUCCUACGGGAGGCAGCAGUGGGGAAUAUUGGACAAUGGGCGCAAGCCUGAUCCAGCAAUGCCGCGUGAGUGAUGAAGGCCUUAGGGUUGUAAAGCUCUUUUACCCGGGAUGAUAAUGACAGUACCGGGAGAAUAAGCUCCGGCUAACUCCGUGCCAGCAGCCGCGGUAAUACGAAGGGGGCUAGCGUUGUUCGGAAUCACUGGGCGUAAAGGGCGCGUAGGCGGCUUGAUAAGUCGGGGGUGAAAGCCUGUGGCUCAACCACAGAAUUGCCUUCGAUACUGUCUGGCUUGAGACCGGAAGAGGUAAGUGGAACUGCGAGUGUAGAGGUGAAAUUCGUAGAUAUUCGCAAGAACACCAGUGGCGAAGGCGGCUUACUGGUCCGGUUCUGNNGCUGAGGCGCGAAAGCGUGGGGAGCAAACAGGAUUAGAUACCCUAGUAGUCC